UAGCCUAGUGGUUAAGGCUUUGGAUUGCCAAUCCGGAGACGGCGGGUUCGAUUUUCGU
Aedes albopictus (Asian tiger mosquito) is the source of this 58-nucleotide non-coding RNA. The record is from Rfam. Lineage: Eukaryota; Metazoa; Arthropoda; Insecta; Diptera; Culicidae.